RNAcentral lists this ribosomal RNA (253 nucleotides) under uncultured bacterium. RNAcentral describes it as "partial 16S ribosomal RNA". It matches the Rfam family "Bacterial small subunit ribosomal RNA", at positions 524 to 776 of the family's 1533-position model. The record is from RNAcentral.
UACGUAGGUGACAAGCGUUAUCCGGAAUUACUGGGCGUAAAGCGCACGCAAGCGGUCUGUCAAGUCUGGCGUGAAAUCUCUUGGCUUAACCAGGAGCGGUCGCUGGAAACUGAUGGGCUUGAGGCGAUGAGAGGAGUGCGGAAUCCCCGGUGUAGUGGUGGAAUGCGUAGAUAUCGGGGGGAACACCAGUGGCGAAAGCGGCACUCUGGCGUCGGCCUGACGCUCAUGUGCGAAAGCGUGGGGAGCGAACGGG